GUCCAGCUGGCGAGUCCUAAAUAGGACGAAACGCAAGUCCCGGGU
RNAcentral lists this non-coding RNA (45 nucleotides) under Schistosoma curassoni. Lineage: Eukaryota; Metazoa; Platyhelminthes; Trematoda; Strigeidida; Schistosomatidae. The record is from RNAcentral.